Molecule: long non-coding RNA, 558 nt
Organism: Lutra lutra (Eurasian river otter)
Lineage: Eukaryota; Metazoa; Chordata; Mammalia; Carnivora; Mustelidae
Exons: 3
Source: RefSeq, a predicted model, not a curated record
ACUAUUUUUUCCCCAUUAAUUUCUUUGUCUAUUCUAUCUGUGCUCUCUUAUUCCAGUAGCUUCGGGGGUAGAAGUACCAGAGACAGUACCUAACCAGCCACUUCUUCAUGGCACCAGCCCCCGAGGGACAGGGCCUAACUUCUAACUCUGAGUUAUGGUCAGAUGGGAACAAAACGAACAUUAGGAGAUUAUGGUGAUAAGGAUGAUGCUGCCCGUACAGCUUCCGGACCUCUUGCACACACGCAGCGGACUGCUGGGUGAAAACAGAGCCUUCAAACCACUUCAUUUCCUUUAAAGAGCAACAGCGAUUGCUGAAGGAGAUAUCGCAAUGGGUGUCAUCGCGAUGAAUGGUUUCUUGUAAAGUUAAUAAAUAAUGACUAAGGUGUGAUAAGAGAGCCCACCAACACUAAGAAUGUUCUAUACCCACCGCAAGGGAAGGAAUAAGAAUCCAAGAUUAUGGCAUCUUUGAGACUCUUGUCCUGAAUGAUGAUUUAAUGUAAUCUCUUCUUAGGUCUCAAGUUCUUGAAGGACGGCUCCUGCAUCUGUCUACUCCCUUAC